UGAAGCACACAUAUAGUGGAAUACAAAUGUGCCGAGAUAAGGAUCUUUUCUGAAUCUCGCAAUUUUGGUGGUGUACCCUAGCUGCAACAUCAUGUUGGUUUUUAUGGCUGUUUCUACUUCUGUUUAGAACGCAACCAUAGAGUUUCAGAGACAUGAAGAGUGUGAAGUGACCUCCCAUGUAUGCACCAGAUCUGCUUGAUGAAAUUCAAAUGCCUUACUAAAUUCAUCACCCAUAUGACAAAGUAUCAGGAAAUUUAUUUCAACAUGCGGAGUUAUGCUGAAUUGGUUGCUGUGAAUUCCAUUUUUACGGUUUUUCAUCAUAAACAUGUUAUUGUGCUUCUUA
Molecule: long non-coding RNA, 343 nt
Filed under: Daphnia pulicaria
Lineage: Eukaryota; Metazoa; Arthropoda; Branchiopoda; Diplostraca; Daphniidae
Description: uncharacterized LOC124349185, transcript variant X2
Source: RNAcentral